GAUCAUGGCUCAGGAUGAACGCUGGCGGCGUGCUUAACACAUGCAAGUCGAACGGGAAACCUUUUAUUGAAGCUUCGGCAGAUUUAGAUUGUUUCUAGUGGCGGACGGGUGAGUAACGCGUGGGUAACCUGCCUUGUACAGGGGGAUAACAGUCAGAAAUGACUGCUAAUACCGCAUAAGCGCACAGGACCGCAUGGUCCGGUGUGAAAAACUCCGGUGGUAUAAGAUGGACCCGCGUUGGAUUAG
RNAcentral lists this ribosomal RNA (246 nucleotides) under uncultured bacterium. Its description in RNAcentral is "partial 16S ribosomal RNA". It matches the Rfam family "Bacterial small subunit ribosomal RNA", at positions 15 to 244 of the family's 1533-position model. The record is from RNAcentral.